Molecule: long non-coding RNA, 1700 nt
Organism: Cucumis melo (muskmelon)
Lineage: Eukaryota; Viridiplantae; Streptophyta; Magnoliopsida; Cucurbitales; Cucurbitaceae
Exons: 3
Source: RefSeq, a predicted model, not a curated record
AGGAUCUAAUGAGAAUAAACAGUAGAUGCAUGAGUUUUUUUGAUGACAUUCCUAUAGAGAAGUGGACUCAAGCACAUGACGGAGGAUUUCGAUACGGGUGGAUGACAACAAAUCUAUCAGAGUGCAUGAAUGGAGUUUUCAAAGGAGCUCGAAUGUUGCCGAUAAAUGCUAUAGCUCAAAGUACAUUCUUCAAAUGUGUGAGUUACUUUGAAAAAAGGAGAGAGGAAAUAAAAGUUGCAUUGGAACGUGGAGAUAAAUAUACCGGGUACGCACUUCAGAAAAUAUUGAAAUGGUCUGUAAGAUCCAGUAAGCAUGAAGUACAAUCCUAUGAUCGAUCUGAAGGCAUAUUUCAUGUAAAAACUGGACGUCACGAAUUAAAUUCUAAAGGAGGAAAUAUCCAAAUAUUGAGAUUAAGUGCUUCUGAGCGGUACUGUUCGUGUAACAAGUGGCAAGCCUUUGGUAUUCCAUGCUCGCAUUUUAUGGCGGUUUGUUCACGGUUUAACAUGAACUAUGAAGACUUUAUUGAGGACUAUUAUAAAAUAUCAACUUAAGCUGCAUGCUAUGCGCCUCAGUUUCAACCUGUACCGCAUGAAGAUUAUUGGAUAACACCUACAAGUAUGCCUGUCUUACUGCCAGAUCCAUCGUUGUUGAGAAAAUCAGGUAGACCAAAGACUUCACGUUAUCACAACGAGAUGGAUUGGACAGAACAAAGUGCUCAACAACGAUGCUCAUUCUGUAGCCAACUUGGUCAUAACCGACGGAGCUGUACUUUGUUAAGGAGACAGGCACCUGAUAGUUAGACAUCUUUCUUUAAUGACAUUGAUUUGUAUUUUUUUUUGUGUAGAUAAUGGCAUUAAAUCGAGGACCAAUUGAUCCGGACGUUUUAUAUGAUCAGAACAUUCACCGAUCAGAAACUGUGUGGGAUGAUCGUAAUACGCCCGAGAUAAACUGUAGACGACGUGAGGCAGUUGUCCAACGUACUAUCCCACUACACCGCAACAUACUUCCACUGUUACGUGCUUCAGGAUUUUAUGGGCUUGCCAGAUUGGGGUUCAUCCAGUUAGACUGGCAUCUGAUCACUGCACUUUUGGAGAGAUGGAGACCAGAGACACAUACAUUUCACAUGCCAAUUGGAGAGUGCACAAUUACGUUACAGGAUGUGGAAGUUUUGGUGGGAUUACCGACUGAUGGCGAGCCUGUUAUCGAUCAGAUGCAUGAUGAUUGGUUGCAUGUUUGCCAAGAGUUACUUGUGUGAUCCCACCUCCUGAACAAAUUAGGGGGCAGAGAUUGAGUUUAACAUGGUUGGGGGCAGAGUUUCAUGAAUUGGCUAACGAUGCCGAUGAGGAAACUAUCACACGUUAUGCACGGGCAUAUAUUUUACAGUUGAUGGGUGGGAGUAUUUUUGCCGAUAAAUCAACUCGUUAUGUGCACCUAAUGUUUCUACCAUUCUUAGCUAAUCUGCACCACACGGGGCGAUAUUCUUGGGGUGGAGCCUGUUUGGCAUGGUUGUAUAGACAAUUAUGCAAGGCAUCCAAACAAGGUGUUCGUGAAAUAGCUGGGCCACUAAUAUUGUUACAAAUAUGGGCUUGGGAACGAUUCCCAAUAGUGGCUCCUCAACUCCUACAUGUCAAUGCUAAUCAAUUACACAGUCGAGCUUAUGGUUCAAGAUGGAGAGAUCAAUUUUGUGUGACAAGAUCGGC